This 943-nucleotide ribosomal RNA is filed under the name Panus sp. DMC 182. RNAcentral describes it as "LSU rRNA". It matches the Rfam family "Eukaryotic large subunit ribosomal RNA", at positions 36 to 965 of the family's 3401-position model. The record is from RNAcentral. Lineage: Eukaryota; Fungi; Basidiomycota; Agaricomycetes; Polyporales; Panaceae.
UAGCAUAUCAAUAAGCGGAGGAAAAGAAACUAACAAGGAUUCCCCUAGUAACUGCGAGUGAAGCGGGAAAAGCUCAAAUUUAAAAUCUGGCAGUCUUUGGCUGUCCGAAUUGUAUUCUGGAGAAGCGUUUUCCGUGCUGGACCGUGUACAAGUCUCUUGGAAUAGAGCGUCAUAGAGGGUGAGAAUCCCGUCUUUGACACGGACUACCAGUGCUUUGUGAUGCGCUCUCAAAGAGUCGAGUUGUUUGGGAAUGCAGCUCAAAAUGGGUGGUGAAUUCCAUCUAAAGCUAAAUAUUGGCGAGAGACCGAUAGCGAACAAGUACCGUGAGGGAAAGAUGAAAAGCACUUUGGAAAGAGAGUUAAACAGUACGUGAAAUUGCUGAAAGGGAAACGCUUGAAGUCAGUCGCGUCAUUCAGAACUCAGCCUGGCUAUUGCUUGGUGUAUUUUCUGGUUGACGGGCCAGCAUCAAUUUUGACCGCUGGAAAAAGGCCAUAGGAAUGUGGCACCUUCGGGUGUGUUAUAGCCUAURGUCAUAUACAGCGGUUGGGAUUGAGGACCGCAGCACGCCUUUAUGGUUGGGGUUYGCCCACAUUCGUGCUUAGGAUGCUGGCGUAAUGGCUUUAAACGACCCGUCUUGAAACACGGACCAAGGAGUCUAACAUGCCUGCGAGUGUUUGGGUGGAAAACCCGAGCGCACAAUGAAAGUGAAAGUUGGGAUCCCUGUCGUGGGGAGCACCGACGCCCGGACCAGACCUUCUGUGACGGAUCCGCGGUAGAGCAUGUAUGUUGGGACCCGAAAGAUGGUGAACUAUGCCUGAAUAGGGUGAAGCCAGAGGAAACUCUGGUGGAGGCUCGUAGCGAUUCUGACGUGCAAAUCGAUCGUCAAAUUUGGGUAUAGGGGCGAAAGACUAAUCGAACCAUCUAGUAGCUGGUUCCUGCCGAG